Molecule: ribosomal RNA, 430 nt
Filed under: uncultured bacterium
Lineage: Bacteria
Description: bacterial SSU rRNA
Rfam family: Bacterial small subunit ribosomal RNA
Source: RNAcentral
GUAUGUUUUACACAUGCAAGUUGGACGAAAUUUUUCUGUUUCGUAGCGAACGGGUGAGUAAUAGCAAAAUUUUACCUUCUAAUUCAAUAUAAAAAUUCAUUUUUAAAAAUGAAUUACAUAAUAUUUGAUUGCGCGAGCGCCGUUGACAGGGCUGAAAUAAUUGCCUGUUAGAAAGAUAAAUUUGUAAAAGAUUAGGCUGUUGGUGAAUUAAAAGCUCACCAAACCAAUGAUCUUUAGUUGGUUUUAGAGAAUGAUCAACCACACUGGGACUGAAACAAGGCCCAGGCUGAUAUGUUGGCCAGCAGUGGAGAAUAUUGGACAAUGAACGAAAGUUUGAUCCAGCAAUACUACCUGGGUGACGACGGCUUAUAAAAGUUGUAAGAUCCUUUAGUAAAAAAAGAUAAUGACAUUAUUUUACUGAAUCUAUAGU